GCCAGGCGUGGUGGCACACACCUGUAAUACCAGUGACUUGGGAGGCUGAGGCAGGAGGAUCACGAGUUCAAAGCCAGCCUCAGCAACAGCGAGGCACUAAGCAACUCAGUGAGACCCUGACUCUA
RNAcentral lists this small RNA (125 nucleotides) under Marmota monax (woodchuck). Lineage: Eukaryota; Metazoa; Chordata; Mammalia; Rodentia; Sciuridae. The record is from RNAcentral.